GACGAACAAUUGGAGGGCAAGUCUGGUGCCAGCAGAAGCGGUAAUUCCAGCUCCGAUAGCGUAUAUUAAAGGUGUUGCAGUUAAUUAGCUCGUAGUUGAACUUUGGGCCCGGUUGGCCGGUCCGAUUUUCCCGUGUACUGGAUUCGGAACGGGGCCUUUCCUUCUGGCUAACCUUGAGUCCUUGUGGCUCUUGGCGAACCAGGACUUUUACUUUGGGAAAAUUAGAGUGUUCAAAGCAGGCGUAUUGCUCGAAUAUAUUAGCAUGUAAUAAUAGAUUAGGACGUUUGGUUCUAUUUUGUUGGUGGCUAGGACCAUCGUAAUGAUUAAUAGGGACUGUCCCGGGCAUCAGUAUUCAAUUGUCAGAGGAGAAAUUCUUGGAUUUAUUGAAGACUAACUACUGCGAAAGCAUUUGCCCAAGGACGUUUUCAUUAAUCAGGAACGAAAAUUAGGGGAUCGAAGAUGAUCAGAUACCGUCGUAGUCUUAACCAUAAACUAUGCCGACUAGGGAUCGGAUGGUGUUUUUUUAAUGACGCACUCGGCACCUUACGAGAAAUCAUUGUCUAAGGGUUCUGGGGGGAGUAUGGUCGCAAGGCUGAAACUUAAAGGAAUUGACGGAAGGGCAGGACCAGGAGUGGAGCCUGCGGCUUAAUUUGACUCAACACGGGGAAACUCACCAGGUCCAGACACAAUAAGGAUUGACAGAUUGAGAGCUCUUUCUUGAUUUUGUGGGUGGUGGUGCAUGGCCGUUCUUAGUUGGUGGAGUGAUUUGUCUGCUUAAGG
This 780-nucleotide ribosomal RNA is filed under the name Saccharomyces cerevisiae (brewer's yeast). RNAcentral's name for it is "SSU rRNA". It matches the Rfam family "Eukaryotic small subunit ribosomal RNA", at positions 539 to 1324 of the family's 1831-position model. Lineage: Eukaryota; Fungi; Ascomycota; Saccharomycetes; Saccharomycetales; Saccharomycetaceae. The record is from RNAcentral.